CCUCCAUUUAUUGGUGGGGAUAGGGCUUGUGGUCCUGGUCCCUGUAAUGUACAGAAGUAGAGGGACAGGGCACUGGCCCCCUCUAAAUCAUGUCUUGGGUACCAGUGGCUUCCAUUCUGCCAGUUCUAUCCUCAAGCACCAGGACACAA
RNAcentral lists this small nucleolar RNA (149 nucleotides) under Catagonus wagneri (Chacoan peccary). RNAcentral's name for it is "Small nucleolar RNA SNORA57 (ENSCWAG00000002792.1)". It matches the Rfam family "Small nucleolar RNA SNORA57". From Rfam's summary of the family: U99 belongs to the H/ACA class of snoRNAs which are thought to guide the sites of modification of uridines to pseudouridines, the target for this family is unknown. The record is from Rfam by way of RNAcentral. Lineage: Eukaryota; Metazoa; Chordata; Mammalia; Artiodactyla; Tayassuidae.